This 445-nucleotide ribosomal RNA is filed under the name uncultured bacterium. Its description in RNAcentral is "bacterial SSU rRNA". It matches the Rfam family "Bacterial small subunit ribosomal RNA", at positions 354 to 796 of the family's 1533-position model. The record is from RNAcentral.
GUAGGGAAUAUUGGACAAUGGAGGAAACUCUGAUCCAGCCAUGCCGCGUGAUAGAUGAAGGCCCUCUGGGUUGUAAAUAUCUUUUAUCUGGGAAGAAACAAUCUUAUUCUUAAGAUCUUGACGGUACCAGAGGAAUAAGCACCGGCUAACUCCGUGCCAGCAGCCGCGGUAAUACGGAGGGUGCAAGCGUUAUCCGGAUUCACUGGGUUUAAAGGGUGCGUAGGCGGGCUGAUAAGUCAGUGGUGAAAGCUCCGAGCUUAACUUGGAAACUGCCAUUGAUACUGCCAGUCUUGAAUGUCGUAGAGGUAAGCGGAAUGUUGCAUGUAGCGGUGAAAUGCUUAGAUAUGUUACAGAACACCAAUUGCGAAGGCAGCUUACUAUGCGAUGAUUGACGCUGAGGCACGAAAGCGUGGGGAGCAAACAGGAUUAGAAACCCCUGUAGUCC